AAAAAGAACUCUCGGCAACGGAUAUCUCGGCUCUCGCAUCGACGAAGAACAUAGCGAAAUGCGAUACUUGGUGUGAAUUGCAGAAUCCCGUGAACCAUCGAGUCUUUGAACGCAUGUUGCGCCCGAAGCCAUUAGGCCGAGGGGCAUC
This 148-nucleotide ribosomal RNA is filed under the name Capsicum chinense x Capsicum frutescens. Its description in RNAcentral is "5.8S ribosomal RNA". It matches the Rfam family "5.8S ribosomal RNA". From Rfam's summary of the family: 5.8S ribosomal RNA (5.8S rRNA) is a component of the large subunit of the eukaryotic ribosome. It is transcribed by RNA polymerase I as part of the 45S precursor that also contains 18S and 28S rRNA. The record is from RNAcentral. Lineage: Eukaryota; Viridiplantae; Streptophyta; Magnoliopsida; Solanales; Solanaceae.